GUUUGUAAUUUCUUCUUUCUAGGAUUGGUUCUCUGUAAUUUUUGCUUAUUUUUAAAUUCUCUCUUUGUCUUUUGCUCUGAGAACGAUGUUACCGAUGUGUUUGCUUUCCAUGUUUACUUGCAUUUUAGCCUUUAUUUUUUUAAUUUUGAUUUUAUUUAAAUGUUAUGUAUUUUUUUUCUACUAAUUUUGAGCGUCUCAGCUUCCUGCUUCUUUACUUACAUUCUCUCAGGAUCCGGGGAGCCGAGCUCGGUCUCAGUCUCCCUGCUGUCAGGUGCCAGGUUGUGUCUGGUGGCUCUCCUUCGUAUGCGGAGCUGAUGGUUUUGCAUCAGCGCUUUUGCCAGUAGAGCCGACUAGCGUUUUCUCAGUUACGGCACCGUUCUUAGCGCCCAGUGUGACGUUUCCCAUUCGCCAGGUCCUUAUGUUCUCUGUGCUGUCACUUUCUUGGUUCUCGCACCGCUAGUAUCUGCUAAAGAACUUCCUAAACCAUGUUUUACUGUGCAGAACGGUGAUUGCACGGAGCCGCUGUACGCACUAGUAAUUUCAUAGCACCGUUAGCUGGCGCUUUUUCUGUCACAACACAUUAAAACGGGUUAAAAUACUGCAAGCGGAUUAAACACAUUAAGAGGAUUAAAACAUUAAAAUGUCUCAACACAUUUUUCUGACACAACACAUUUAAACGGAGUGGGUUCAUUCCUCCGAAGAGGAUGUUUAGGCGUGGAAGCACCGCUGUUUCCCAAGAGCACGGUUUCUCUCUGGCAGCACCACUUAUGGCACCAAAACAGAUUAAGGUUUCCACCCACCUCCCUGAAAUCUGAUUUGGACCCCCAGGAGGCCAGAAGAGUAUAAAAACGCAAAAGAUGUUGACUUCUGAGUCCCACAUACCCGGCGUCAGCUGGUGAAUGAAAGACACGAAGGAGCUGCUGUGGAGCUGCUGUCUCCCCUCGGAGUUUGGCAGGCCCGGGAUUCCGCAAAGGAGUUGGCGGGGCCAGAUGCCUCCAGCCCUGAGCUCAGUACAUUCGGUGUCCUGGAUGCUCCCUUCCUUUCCUUAUCACUGCGAGCUCUCCUGGGACGGCCUAGAUUUCCACUGGGACCUACUUUCGGCUCCCUGCGUGCUUCAUUGCUGAAACUGCCGGCGAAAAGAUCUCUUUCUCAAGCCUCAGAGCACCUUGAGGCGGGGCGCAGAGUCGCCCGCUCUGGAUCCCGCGCCAGAGACCCAGGAGGAUCCGCAGGAGCCCUCGGGAGAGCAGGAGGCUGCAUAGGGUCUCAACGUACUCCCGUCCCCGCAGCCUCCCUCGCAACUCGCCCCUCGCUCGGUAGGCAGACAACUCCAGCCGGACAGGUCCGUCCGAGGAGACCUUUCAGAGUGUCAGCCUACUGCUGACCUCGGAGCCACCAACCAAAGUUCCAAGACUGCUGGCUGCAGAUUGCAUGCUCUUGGGGCAGACGCCCUAAGAAUGUGUCCACCGAGUCCAAUGUGUCUUUGGAGUCCUGAGCCCUGAGAUUUCCGCUAAGACCUUCCAUUGGACGAUCUCUUGUAACAGAUGUUGUUACAGUAACACGUGAGUUCGCUCAAAUGCGAUGGAAGUUUUGCCUUUCGAUCAUUUUGUGCCUUUGUCUUUCCCCUUCUCAAUAAAAUCGUACACAAAUGUGAAAUUCUUGUUGCCUGUGUUCCUGUUGAUGUUGGGUAAGGAUGAGCCUCAGGGGCGGGGUGGCUGGUUGCUGGUGCCAGGACUAUCACGGGGACCCUGAAUCCCCUAGGUUUGCUGGUUGCAGGGCAAACAAAAAGUACAAGAAGUGUGUGUCUUAUGCAGAGAUUGGAGGGGAGAAUAGGCCAGGGGUCGUGCAUGGCUGGUGACUCACAGGCUGAGCCUACAGGAAAUCCGGUGAACAGGCAGCAGACCUGAGAACUUACUGCAGGAAAUUCUCCUGUUCUGAGGCCCUGGAACUUUUUCCCUCUGAAGGUUUGCACCUUUCUAUCUUGAGGCCUUGUUAAACUCAUAAUUUCUGGAAGUUUUCUUCUAGACUCUUUAAGAUUUUCUCCAUAGGCUCAUGUUCUGCAUGUAUGAAUAGUUUCAUUUUUUCACUUCCAAUGUAUAUGCUUUCUUACUCCUUUUCUCACCUUAUUGCACUGGCGAACAAUUCCAGUAC
This 2148-nucleotide long non-coding RNA is filed under the name Homo sapiens (human). RNAcentral describes it as "HSALNT0087196". Lineage: Eukaryota; Metazoa; Chordata; Mammalia; Primates; Hominidae. The record is from RNAcentral.